CAAGUUUUAUGUAGCACCAGCAGAGAAAUUGUAUGAAGAAAUUAAGUCACCGAUUCAAGUUAUCAAGAUAGGAUUAACAGAAGAUAUGAUCAUACCAGAAGAUAUUGGACAUCAAAACGAAAUACCAAAAAUAGAUAUACCAAAUUUUUAUGCCAAUAAAAGAAUAAUUGGUAUAUCAACUAUUAUACAGGAGUUAGCACACAACAAUUUAAAUGGAAACGCUAUAUGGAGUUAUUACGCUAGAGAUCAAAUUAUGAUAUAUUCAAACACCAGAGACUUAAGAAGAGAAGAUAUGGAUGAAGUCCAGCGAUGGAUUUUGUCACUAUUAAAACCAGAAGAACAAACUACGACAAGAGCAUUGAAAAAGGAAUUUAUUUAAGAAGAAUUAUUAACCAGAUAUUGCAAACUUAUUGGACAUAAAUAUCCAGAUCACAGAUGCUCCAAAUGCAAUGGAGAAGAUAACAUAAUACCAUAUGUUUAUUUGGAAUAAGGACAAGGAGAUAAAGAUACAAGAUAAGAUAAGGAUGAAGAAAAGAAAAAGAGAUAUGGCAGACAAAGAAAAAGUGACAAAAGAAAAAGAGACAUAGAUAGAGAUAAGAUUCCUUUGUACAGUAAAUAACUUUUGCUUUUUUGAAAGGCCAAUGUGUAUAGCCGGCCAUUUGUAAAGUUUUGUUCAAAAGUCGUAAAGUGUACAGUAGACGCACUUAUGUGCAGACUUAGGAUUUAGUAUAUAUAGAUUGCCAAAUUGUAAAUGAAAGGCAGGCAAUGCCAAACUAAAGUUCAAGUUAAUAAACCCUCUCUCAAAAUACAAAGCUCUCUCAAAGAUACAAACUAAGAAAAACAUAUGGAAAAAUCGAAAAUACAAUGAGAUAUCUCAGAUAGCAUGACAAACAAGAGGCAAAGGUAUUGAAAUAACCUAAAUACGAUUAACAUUUAAUAAGCAAUGGUCAAAAAGGAAUACAGCGUAACACAAAAUGGCGGCUUCUGUUCCAGGUAAUGUUCAAUUGAUAGAUUUAUUUAUAUAGGUACAAGUCUUAAUAUUAUUAUUAUAAUUAUGUUGGAGUAUUUGUACAGAAAAAGGAGAGAAUUGCCGUUAAAAAAGAUUAAUAUGAAAUUUAUUAGGAUUGCACUAACGUUCUAUUACUUGAGGAAUUGAGAGUUUUGUUGGUUAUUAUGGUAAAUAUAGGACUAACAGUGGAGGCAAUCAUUAGAAAAAGUAUAUAAAUUGAAAUGUUUUGAUGGUUUUAAUCUGCCCCUCUCAGAAAAUAUAACCAAUGGCGUAGUCUAUUGCUGAUUUGAGUUGGUGUUUAUUUUUACUUUUGCUUACUGUAUUGUAAAUAAUGUUUUAAGAUAUUAAGAUAGGCAAUUAAAUAGUAGGUGUAUUCUAUUACUUGAAAACUUUUAAAAUUAUAGUAAUUGGAGAAAUUAAGACUUAGCCUUAGCCUUGAAAUGUGGAAAAUAUGAGAGUUGACAUGUUAAUUGACAUGAAGAUUGAGAGUUUGAUUAUAAUUCGGGUUAGUUUUAGGUCUAAUCUAGAUAUAUGCUAAUAUGAGUGUCGUUAGUUCGAACGUCUUAUUGUAAUUACUUAUUUUAAUAGAUUGAAUUUAUUUGGAGGUUGAAUGAAAGGGAAAGACUCACGUCGCAAGAGUGAUAGUUCGACUAGCUUGAGGCAAGUGAAUUUCUAAACUCUUGUUAAGUGUAUAUAAUGUGUGUAUUUCCUCGUGGUUUAUGUUUGGGAGUAAUGGGAAUUUGUAAUCGGUUAAUUUGUCCACAUUUAUUAAUUCUGAUAAUGCAAAAAGGGUAAUACAAUUGUUUUUGUUAUGUUUUAGAAUGGAGAAUGAUUUGAAAGACUUGUUGAAUCAUUGUUGAUAUUGUAUCAUGAUUGUGAUGUUGUGAAUCGUGCAAUGUUAUGAAUGGUCAUAUCCUCUUUAUUUGAAGGAACAUGUCAUUUGCAUUAUUCUGAGACAUGGUUGUGACAAGUGUUAUGUGGAUCGAGAAAGAAUGAGAACUUAAAGAAGAUGUGUCCUUUCGAGGGACGUAUUACGUGCUGCAAUGGAUACAAUAUAUUGAGGGACAUAUCGCAAGCCGCGAUGGUUACUAUUAUUAAGGGAUGUGUUGUGCGCCGCGACAGAUGCAUCGACAGAUAUGUCCCCCAUAGGUACCGGACUAAGAGAAAUCGGGUGUGUAUCACUAGGUCAGACAUGAAUCAUUAUACUUGACAUUGUAUUCCAUGACAUUGCACAUACUUAUCAUUAGUGAACUUGAUAUUGUGUUUUGAUGAUUUUGUGAAUGGCUUUCUAUGGAAUGUGUGAUUGAUGAAUACCGAGCUUGCUGUUGAGUUUAUGUAAUUUGUUAAAGUGUUGUUGUUCAGGAUAUGCAAUUUGUCUAAGUGUUGUUGUUGAGGAUAUGUCAUUUUUCUAAGUGUUGUUAUUGAUCUAUGUGCUAUAUAAAAUGUGAGCCGUCAGGUUUGGAUGAGUUUCAUAUAGGUUGUAGUUUUGGAGGUUCGAUUGAGGUGGUAGGAGUUCCCGUAUUUCAUCCCAUUAGGUUGUGUAUAGAGGUUUACUUGCGGAGUACCUUGUUGUUGGGUAUUCAACCAUUGCUUCUACAACUUUUUUUAGGUUACCAACUCGGACCUUUGUGAUAUUCUCUUCUUCCUAGGCUUCUUGGAGAUUUGUGAGGUAGCUGUUUGUCAUCUGAGCAGACCUUCUUACUCCUAUAUAUGAUUUUGUUCUACUAUAGAUACAAUGUCAUAUGAGGCUUAUAUUUUCUUUUGAUUCAAUUGUAAUAUUUUAGAGGCUUGUACACAUGACAACUAGAUUUUGGGGUACUUUUGAGUUUAUUAUAGAAUUCCAUAUUUUAUUGUAAUAGUUGAGUUUUAGGCAGACUUGUCUCGGAUAAGACGAGUGUCAUCACGUUUAUUUUUGGGUCGUGACACAAAUUAAAGUUGAAUAAAAGUUAUUCUUCAUAUUUAAAUCAUCUUGUUGUUCCAGUUUAUUAAUAACAUUGGAAAUAAACUUAUGGAUUAUUCUAAUAGGUUUCUUGGGAUUGCCAAUAGGAUAAGGAUACUUGGAAAUGAACUUACUUAUAAUAGAAUAGUUUAAAAGAUAAUUGUAACUUUACCUAAUAGAUAUGAGAAUACUAUUGCUUCAUUGGAAAAUAAUAAAGAUCUGACAAAGCUUAGCUUGGAAGAUUUAUUGACUACACUGCAGGCACAAGAACAACAAAGAAUGAUGAGGCAUGAGGGAUCCAUUGAGGGAGCCUUGCAAUAAAAGUUGCAGUUCGGUUCAAAUGCCAACGGAAAAAAAGAAAAAGGAAUGAAAGGAAAUCAUUGAAACUACGAAGAGGCCACUACGACAAAUGGUGUUGCUACAACUAAGAAUAACAGAGAAGAAAAAUAUCCUCCCAACCCAACACUGUGUGAGGAGAAAUCAUCCACACAUUAUUGGAGAAAAUCUGAUAUUAAAUGCAUUAAGUUUCACAAGCUUGGUCAUGUUGAUUAUCUACAAAGAGAAGGUAUUACAACAACCAAAUGAUGCACAUAUUUCAGACAAACAAGAAGAAGAGCAACUAUUUCUAGCCACCUAUUUCGCUGUCAUAAAUUCAAGUGAAAGUUGGCUUAUUGAAAGUGGUCGUACAAACUACAUGAUCGGUGAUGAAAAUCUUUUCAGAGAACUUGAUCGAUCAAUUAAAUCAAGAAUAAGAAUCAGAAAUGUAGAAUACCUCCUUGAGAAAGGAAAGGGAGUUACUAAUGUACAAAACUUAUAUAUAAAGUUUUAUUUGUUCCUGAAAUUGAUAAGAGCUUAUAUUAAGUGUUGGGCAA
Non-coding RNA from Solanum lycopersicum (tomato), 3820 nucleotides. The record is from RefSeq and is a predicted model, not a curated record. Lineage: Eukaryota; Viridiplantae; Streptophyta; Magnoliopsida; Solanales; Solanaceae.